RNAcentral lists this long non-coding RNA (1507 nucleotides) under Equus caballus (horse). RNAcentral's name for it is "lncRNA (ENSECAG00000057180.1)". Lineage: Eukaryota; Metazoa; Chordata; Mammalia; Perissodactyla; Equidae. The record is from RNAcentral.
AGCAGCCAGAUUGGGGAGCCACCUGGGUCCUCCUGGCUUCUGUCCUUGAAUCUCUGUUGUGGGGCACCAAGAGUCAGUGACUGUGGCAGGCCCCACCCUCCCCUCACUGGCUGGCUAUUAGGUGGCCUCGGUAAGCCCUGAGCACACGCAUAUACGGUUCUUUAAUAGCUCAUAUAGCAUGGCCAGCCCUGGGCAGCCUAGCUGAAGGAGGUGGGCCACAGGUGGCCGGUGAAGGCAGGGUUUGCAAUCAGGUGGAGGACUCUGAGCCAUGGCAGACAGCCGUGAAGGAGGGCAGACAGGAUAAUGCCAGGAGGAAUGGAGCUGCCUCUCAGCCACGGGCCAGGAGACCUGAGCCUCUUCAGUGAAUUACACUUCCUGACUCCAGGUGACAGAAGCCCCUGGCUCUGGGCCACACCAGCAGAUUUGGGCUCAGGGGCCAGGCUCCUGAGCUGCACCUGAACUCCAGGAGCUGUAGGCAUGAAGGAGCUCACCCUGGCAUCUGGCCACCCCGCCACACACACACAGCAGGGGCUGUGAGGAGGCUUGGGCAGAAGCAAGUGUGUCUAGGUGUGUGUUGGGGACAGGGGUCAGCCGACCAGGGUGGAGUCAGUGAGCCCCACUGAGGGGCUGUUGGGGCUGGGGGAGAGGCAGACCUGGUGAGACUGGGGUAGUAGUGGGGCCUGGUAGUACUGAUUCUGGCCCCCCACCCCGUCUUCUUCGCUGGCUCUUCUGGCUGCCAGUGGUGUGACCCCAUGGCUGUCUCCCUGGGCAGGGGGAGGCUGUCCCCAUAGUACCCACUGAGCCGUGCCCCCUUCUCCACCCAGAACAGGCUGCCCCAGCCCUGUGACAGGUCCUCAGCCAGGAGGAGGCCUUAGGGACUGGCAUUUAGGAGCUAGGUUCCUGGCUCUGCUGACCACCAGAAGCCACCUUGCCUCUGGGAGCCUCAGUUAGGCUGAACAUUAGAUGAGGGUAUUUGCCCUCCGUAAUGCCCUGUGGGGCAGACGGCAGGGCCAGGCGGGCACUUUGCUUGUAGGACAUCUGGUGGAGCCUUCUAAGGCUCCUGUGCCAGGGCUGGGAUGUGGGCAGGCUGGGCAGAUGGGAGAGCUCAGGCCCUGGGGCUCACACAGGGCCGAAGCUUUGGGGUCCAGGCACCCUGACUGCAGCCUCCACCCCUCGGAGGAAGGGCUCAGCCUAGAGUUCCCUGCAGGGAGCUAUGAGGAUGAACCUCCACCAGAGGCCUUCUUCAGCCCCGCACUGGGCUCUGGGCCCCCCCCCCCCACACCCCCGCAGACUACCUGGGAACCCCUGAGUUCACCACUACCUGGCCUGACUAUAGGGCAUCAGGGGUGUCUUGGGGUGACCUGAGCUGGGACCGAAGACCAGGCAGGAGUUCGUCAGGUGGGGACAGUAUGAGGCGGUCAGGGAAGGACAUGGGAGGUGACCAGCGUGGCUGGGCACCAACCGGGUGAGGCCCUUGAACUUGAGGCUAAGCACAGUUGCCUUUGAG